Molecule: ribosomal RNA, 252 nt
Filed under: uncultured bacterium
Lineage: Bacteria
Description: partial 16S ribosomal RNA
Rfam family: Bacterial small subunit ribosomal RNA
Source: RNAcentral
UACGGAGGAUGCGAGCGUUAUCCGGAUUUAUUGGGUUUAAAGGGUGCGUAGGCGGGCUUUUAAGUCAGCGGUAAAAAUUCGGGGCUCAACCCCGUCCGGCCGUUGAAACUGGGGGCCUUGAGUGCAGGAGAGGAGAGUGGAAUUCCAUGUGUAGCGGUGAAAUGCGUAGAUAUAUGGAGGAACACCGGUGGCGAAAGCGGCUCUCUGGCCUGUAACUGACACUGAGGCUCGAAAGCGUGGGGAGCAAACAGG